Molecule: ribosomal RNA, 1026 nt
Filed under: Sporidesmium sp.
Lineage: Eukaryota; Fungi; Ascomycota; Sordariomycetes; Sporidesmiaceae
Description: SSU rRNA
Rfam family: Eukaryotic small subunit ribosomal RNA
Source: RNAcentral
AUUAUACAGCGAAACUGCGAAUGGCUCAUUAUAUAAGUUAUCGUUUAUUUGAUAGUACCUUACUACUUGGAUAACCGUGGUAAUUCUAGAGCUAAUACAUGCUAAAAAUCCCGACUUUGGAAGGGAUGUAUUUAUUAGAUUAAAAACCAAUGCCCUUCGGGGCUCUCUGGUGAUUCAUGAUAACUUCUCGAAUCGCAUGGCCUUGCGCCGGCGAUGGUUCAUUCAAAUUUCUUCCCUAUCAACUUUCGAUGUUUGGGUAUUGGCCAAACAUGGUUGCAACGGGUAACGGAGGGUUAGGGCUCGACCCCGGAGAAGGAGCCUGAGAAACGGCUACUACAUCCAAGGAAGGCAGCAGGCGCGCAAAUUACCCAAUCCCGACACGGGGAGGUAGUGACAAUAAAUACUGAUACAGGGCUCUUUUGGGUCUUGUAAUUGGAAUGAGUACAAUUUAAACCCCUUAACGAGGAACAAUUGGAGGGCAAGUCUGGUGCCAGCAGCCGCGGUAAUUCCAGCUCCAAUAGCGUAUAUUAAAGUUGUUGUGGUUAAAAAGCUCGUAGUUGAACCUUGGGCCUGGCUGGCCGGUCCGCCUCACCGCGUGUACUGGUCCGGCCGGGCCUUUCCCUCUGUGGAACCCCAUGCCCUUCACUGGGUGUGGUGGGGAAACAGGACUUUUACUUUGAAAAAAUUAGAGUGCUCCAGGCAGGCCUAUGCUCGAAUACAUUAGCAUGGAAUAAUAGAAUAGGACGUGUGGUUCUAUUUUGUUGGUUUCUAGGACCGCCGUAAUGAUUAAUAGGGACAGUCGGGGGCAUCAGUAUUCAAUUGUCAGAGGUGAAAUUCUUGGAUUUAUUGAAGACUAACUACUGCGAAAGCAUUUGCCAAGGAUGUUUUCAUUAAUCAGGAACGAAAGUUAGGGGAUCGAAGACGAUCAGAUACCGUCGUAGUCUUAACCAUAAACUAUGCCGACUAGGGAUCGGACGAUGUUAUUUUUUGACUCGUUCGGCACCUUACGAGAAAUCAAAGUGCUGG